This 703-nucleotide ribosomal RNA is filed under the name uncultured Bacillus sp. RNAcentral's name for it is "bacterial SSU rRNA". It matches the Rfam family "Bacterial small subunit ribosomal RNA", at positions 416 to 1109 of the family's 1533-position model. Lineage: Bacteria; Bacillati; Bacillota; Bacilli; Caryophanales; Bacillaceae. The record is from RNAcentral.
CUUCGGAUCGUAAAGCUCUGUUGUUAGGGAAGAACAAGUAUCGUUCGAAUAGGGCGGUACCUUGACGGUACCUAACCAGAAAGCCACGGCUAACUACGUGCCAGCAGCCGCGGUAAUACGUAGGUGGCAAGCGUUAUCCGGAAUUAUUGGGCGUAAAGCGCGCGCAGGCGGUCCUUUAAGUCUGAUGUGAAAGCCCACGGCUCAACCGUGGAGGGUCAUUGGAAACUGGGGGACUUGAGUGCAGAAGAGGAGAGCGGAAUUCCACGUGUAGCGGUGAAAUGCGUAGAGAUGUGGAGGAACACCAGUGGCGAAGGCGGCUCUCUGGUCUGUAACUGACGCUGAGGCGCGAAAGCGUGGGGAGCGAACAGGAUUAGAUACCCUGGUAGUCCACGCCGUAAACGAUGAGUGCUAAGUGUUAGAGGGUUUCCGCCCUUUAGUGCUGCAGCAAACGCAUUAAGCACUCCGCCUGGGGAGUACGGUCGCAAGACUGAAACUCAAAGGAAUUGACGGGGGCCCGCACAAGCGGUGGAGCAUGUGGUUUAAUUCGAAGCAACGCGAAGAACCUUACCAGGUCUUGACAUCCUCUGACACUCCUAGAGAUAGGAUUUUCCCUUCGGGGACAGAGUGACAGGUGGUGCAUGGUUGUCGUCAGCUCGUGUCGUGAGAUGUUGGGUUAAGUCCCGCAACGAGCGCAACCCUUGAU